GUUUGCGUAAAUAGUAAGGCAGUUAAUAAUUAAUAGGAAUAUAAAUCUGAACAUAUUGAGUAGCAGUAUGAACGUAAAAAGCCGAUUGAAGCUGUUCUUAGCUUUUUUGCUAUCUCUCAUGAUAAACGAGUAAUCUAAAUUAGCUGUGCCUUACCGAAAACGAGUAUCUUGUCAGCUGUAGAAGAGUAUAGAUAAAUAAAAGUAGACAGCUGGACUCUCCAUUAGCCAAAUUCGAGUAGACUUGAGCAUUGCUUAACUUUUCUUCCUUUCUGCUAUUUCUUUUUACUAUACUGUUCCUGUUGACUUCAGACUUGCUAUUUUGUUUUAAGGCGUAUCAUGGAAAUGUACAAUGCCAGGCAUAUUUGAAUGCUUUUAUUAUCGAUCCUUCAUUCGCUAAUAGACGAAAUGUUAUUUCAACCGACACCUAUUAAUUAUCGAAGUAAUCUUAUUUACUAUACGUUCGCUGAGUCGUUAAAAUGUCAAGCAAGUGCCAUGUUGUUGUACAUUGACGGCUGCAGCGAUCCUCCCUUUUAUUCUAUUUCAUAAAAACCACUUAUAUUAAGCGUUAAGAACUAUUUCCAUCCAGCAUUAAUUACUAUCGUUAGAUGACUUUUAAAGGCUUCACCGUGCACACCCAUUUCUUUUGAAAUGUACUCAAGUAUCACACUUCGAGGAAAAAUUACUUUUUAAAACCUCCUUUUGCGUUUCUUAUUACAUUUUAGAAAUCUUACCACUUCAAACUUGGUUCGUGUAAUUGACACGUGGCUAAAAGCUGUUGUAGAUACGCGGAAUCUCCACGCAAAUUUCUAUUUGAUAUAUUUCGCAUGUUGUCGUUUAACCAUAUCUAGAAUGACAACAAGGAUGCACUCUUGAGAAGUGCGUUCAAGCUCCUCCUGCUUACUAAAGAAGUUCAUUAUAAGGGGGAGCGACGUACCGGAGAAAGCAAAUACUGCAAAACAAUUUGUCAGUGUGCAUACAAAUAUAUGUCACAUCUCUCACUUUUCUCCUUAUUUAAAUUGUAUUAGAUCUCGAUGGAUUAUGUUAUUGUGCUAGUAGUCUGAUUUUCGUGAUAAUCACUUAGACACAUAUUUGUAUAAAAAUUUACUGAAUACCACUAGCAAGCCGCUUACCAAAUUAAUCACCAUAAGACUCAACAAUGAGAAAUUUGACUAUAAGGAAUAUAUAAGCGUUUGG
RNAcentral lists this long non-coding RNA (1194 nucleotides) under Schizosaccharomyces pombe (fission yeast). Lineage: Eukaryota; Fungi; Ascomycota; Schizosaccharomycetes; Schizosaccharomycetales; Schizosaccharomycetaceae. The record is from RNAcentral.